Molecule: ribosomal RNA, 253 nt
Filed under: uncultured bacterium
Lineage: Bacteria
Description: partial 16S ribosomal RNA
Rfam family: Bacterial small subunit ribosomal RNA
Source: RNAcentral
UACGGAGGAUGCAAGCGUUAUCCGGAAUGAUUGGGCGUAAAGCGUCCGCAGGUGGCAAUGUAAGUCUGCUGUUAAAGAGUGAGGCUCAACCUCAUAAAAGCAGUGGAAACUACAUGGCUAGAGUGCGUUCGGGGCAGAGGGAAUUCCUGGUGUAGCGGUGAAAUGCGUAGAGAUCAGGAAGAACACCGGUGGCGAAAGCGCUCUGCUAGGCCGCAACUGACACUGAGGGACGAAAGCUAGGGGAGUGAAUGGG